Molecule: ribosomal RNA, 468 nt
Filed under: uncultured bacterium
Lineage: Bacteria
Description: partial 16S ribosomal RNA
Rfam family: Bacterial small subunit ribosomal RNA
Source: RNAcentral
GACGAACGCUGGCGGCGUGCUUAACACAUGCAAGUCGAACGGAAAGGCCCUGCUUUUGUGGGGUGCUCGAGUGGCGAACGGGUGAGUAACACGUGAGUAACCUGCCCUUGACUUUGGGAUAACUUCAGGAAACUGGGGCUAAUACCGGAUAGGAGCUCCUGCUGCAUGGUGGGGGUUGGAAAGUUUCGGCGGUUGGUGAUGGACUCGCGGCUUAUCAGCUUGUUGGUGGGGUAGUGGCUUACCAAGGCUUUGACGGGUAGCCGGCCUGAGAGGGUGACCGGCCACAUUGGGACUGAGAUACGGCCCAGACUCCUACGGGAGGCAGCAGUGGGGAAUAUUGCACAAUGGGCGGAAGCCUGAUGCAGCAACGCCGCGUGCGGGAUGACGGCCUUCGGGUUGUAAACCGCUUUCGCCUGUGACGAAGCGUUAGUGACGGUAAUGGGUAAAGAAGCACCGGCUAACUACGUG